AUACUUACCUGGCAGGGGAAAUACUUUGAUCAUGAAGGAGGUUUUCCCAGGGUGAGGCUCAUCCAUUGCACUCUGGCUGUGCUGACCCCUGUGAUUUCCCCAAAUGCGGGAAACUUGACAAUACUGAGUCUUAUAAUGGUGUGAUGUUUUCAACAACUUGCCU
This 163-nucleotide small nuclear RNA is filed under the name Pogona vitticeps (central bearded dragon). RNAcentral describes it as "U1 spliceosomal RNA (ENSPVIG00000005160.1)". It matches the Rfam family "U1 spliceosomal RNA". From Rfam's summary of the family: U1 is a small nuclear RNA (snRNA) component of the spliceosome (involved in pre-mRNA splicing). Its 5' end forms complementary base pairs with the 5' splice junction, thus defining the 5' donor site of an intron. There are significant differences in sequence and secondary structure between metazoan and yeast U1 snRNAs, the latter being much longer (568 nucleotides as compared to 164 nucleotides in human). Lineage: Eukaryota; Metazoa; Chordata; Lepidosauria; Squamata; Agamidae. The record is from Rfam by way of RNAcentral.